CGCGCAGGCGGCUUGGUAAGUCGGAUGUGAAAACCCGAGGCUCAACCUCGGGCGUGCAUCCGAUACUGCUCGGCUAGAGGUAGGUAGGGGAGAUCGGAAUUCCUGGUGUAGCGGUGAAAUGCGCAGAUAUCAGGAGGAACACCGGUGGCGAAGGCGGAUCUCUGGGCCUUACCUGACGCUCAGGCGCGAAAGCUAGGGGAGCGAACUGGAUUAGAUACCCAGGUAGUCCUAGCUGUAAACGUUGGGUGCUAGGUGUGGGCGGAUAUCGACCCCGUCCGUGCCGAAGCUAACGCAUUAAGCACCCCGCCUGGGGAGUACGGCCGCAAGGCUAAA
RNAcentral lists this ribosomal RNA (333 nucleotides) under uncultured bacterium. Its description in RNAcentral is "bacterial SSU rRNA". It matches the Rfam family "Bacterial small subunit ribosomal RNA", at positions 568 to 898 of the family's 1533-position model. The record is from RNAcentral.